UCCAAAGAAACCAAAGCAUCAAGGCCUGGUUUAAAUUCCACACAAGCCAAACCAUGAGGGCCCGGUGACUUCCUGGUGGGGUUUCCAUGGUGACACAUUCCCAGCCCAGCGCUCCUGGUGCCCUGAGAGGGCAAUUCAGGAAAGCUGCACCUUCCUGGUAGCUCAGCCCAUGGAGAAAGGAAGAGGAUAACGUGCAGCCAGGAGUUUGGGAUCAAAGGAGGCUGCGUGUCCCGAACCCUCGAGAGAGAAACCCCACGGGGCUGUGCCCCAGUGGGCUCUCUGCCUUUAUUGGAAUGGAGGUGCAGGACUCGUCUGUCUCUUUUAUGGACUCUGCCUUUUCCUAGCGGGAUUUUCUGCACAAAACCCAACCAUCAAAGGCUCAGGAUCUUCCAGGGAAACCAAACUAUCAAAGCCCAGUAACUCCCUGUUUCACGACACCCAGACUCAGAUUUCCUCGGGGUGGCAUUUGCCCAGCCAGGAUCUCGUUCGCCCUUUCAGGAGCAUGUUUUACCAUGCAAACCACACCCUAAGGGGUAGGUAACUUCCAAAGAAACCAAAGCCAUAAACGCUGGGUAAGUUCCAAAGAAAACAAACCAUGGAGGCUGAUUGACCUCCUGGUGAGCUUUCCACAGUUCCAUAUUCCAAACCCAGCCCCCCUGUCACCCUGAGGGGAUAAAUGAGGUCCUGAGAGGGUAAGUGGGGUCCUGAAAGGGUAAAUGAGCUCCUGAGAGGGUAGAUAGGGCCCUGAGGGGGUAAAUCAGGGUCCUAAGGUGGUAAAU
Molecule: long non-coding RNA, 779 nt
Organism: Corvus hawaiiensis (hawaiian crow)
Lineage: Eukaryota; Metazoa; Chordata; Aves; Passeriformes; Corvidae
Exons: 3
Source: RefSeq, a predicted model, not a curated record